UUCGAGAGCAUAUAAUGCCCCGAA
Molecule: non-coding RNA, 24 nt
Filed under: Drosophila erecta
Lineage: Eukaryota; Metazoa; Arthropoda; Insecta; Diptera; Drosophilidae
Also listed under: 1 other name
Source: RNAcentral